RNAcentral lists this ribosomal RNA (759 nucleotides) under uncultured bacterium. RNAcentral describes it as "bacterial SSU rRNA". It matches the Rfam family "Bacterial small subunit ribosomal RNA", at positions 626 to 1386 of the family's 1533-position model. The record is from RNAcentral.
UUNUGAACUGGGUGACUAGAGUGUNUCAGAGGGAGGUAGAAUUCCACGUGUAGCAGUGAAAUGCGUAGAGAAGUGGAGGAAUACCGAUGGCGAAGGCAGCNUCCUGGGAUAACACUGACGUUCAUGCUCGAAAGCGUGGGUAGCAAACAGGAUUAGAUACCCUGGUAGUCCACGCCCUAAACGAUGUCAAUUAGCUGUUGGGCAACUUGAUUGCUUAGUAGCGUAGCUAACGCGUGGAAUUGACCGCCUGGGGAGUACGGUCGCAAGAUUAAAACUCAAAGGAAUUGACGGGGACCCGCACAAGCGGUGGAUGAUGUGGAUUAAUUCGAUGCAACGCGAAGAACCUUACCUGGUCUUGACAUGUACGGAAUCCUCCAGAGACGGAGGAGUGCCUUCGGGAGCCGUAACACAGGUGCUGCAUGGCUGUCGUCAGCUCGUGUCGUGAGAUGUUGGGUUAAGUCCCGCAACGAGCGCAACCCUUGUCAUUAGUUGCCAUCAUUUAGUUGGGCACUCUAAUGAGACUGCCGGUGACAAGCCGGAGGAAGGUGGGGAUGACGUCAAGUCCUCAUGGCCCUUAUGACCAGGGCUUCACACGUCAUACAAUGGUCGGUACAGAGGGUAGCCAAGCCGCGAGGUGGAGCCAAUCUCACAAAACCGAUCGUAGUCCGGAUUGCACUCUGCAACUCGAGUGCAUGAAGUCGGAAUCGCUAGUAAUCGCAGGUCAGCAUACUGCGGUGAAUACGUUCCCGGGUCUUGUAC